Molecule: long non-coding RNA, 2163 nt
Filed under: Homo sapiens (human)
Lineage: Eukaryota; Metazoa; Chordata; Mammalia; Primates; Hominidae
Description: HSALNT0352762
Source: RNAcentral
CCUCCCAGAGGCUUCAGUUUCUAAUACCACCACCUUAGGGGUUAAGAUUUCAACAUAUAAGUUUGGCGGGGUGGAGAGAAAUAAACAUUCAGACCACAGCAGAAGGUUGCCCUAAAUUCUGGAGUCGGGGAGGGGGGAAGUAUCGCAAGAAAACAGGAACACUGAAAGACAUGGGCUCCUUCUCAGAUCUUAGAGAACAAAAGAAAGAACUAAAUGGAGAUGUGGGAAUCACAAGGCCAUAGUUUAGGGUCUCGCAGUGCCAUUGGCAACAAAGCCUGAGAGCCUAGGCGAUAGAGGCAGAACACCCAGAGGAGAAGCCCCUUCCCCUUGCACCGUGAGCCUGGUGUUUGCAGCUUGGUAGCAGUGGCAACAGAACAAUCAGCUCUCCUACAAUAAACCAGGGACGGAACAAACAACAGCAGCAGCGGUCGCAGGGAAACAGAAUCUGUGUUGGCGUGCAGGGAGCAGGCAGCGUCUGCAAAGUAGCGCUGGCAACCACAACAGAGAGGCCAGCAACAGGAGGAGCAGGAGGAGCCCAAUGAAGCGUGCUGUGGAGGACAAAGAGCAGCAGAGGCAGGAAGCAGUGACAAGGAGUGAGCUGGGAAAUUCCAGCUGCCCUCCUGUCCUACUUACAAGGAAUAGCCUGGAACAAGUACAGUUGACUCUGAACAAGUCAGGUUUGAACUGCAUGGGUCCACUCAUAUGAAGAUUUCUUUCAACGAAAGCUACCCCGAGUGUGCCUGCCUUUCCUGCCUCCCCUUCCACCUCCUGCACCUCUACCAUCCCUGCCACCCCUAAGACAGCAAGGCCAGUCUCUUCUCUCUCCCCCUCCUCCUUCAGCCUAUUCAACUUGAAGAUGACAAGGAUGAAGAGCUUUAUGAUGAUCUACUUCCCCUUAAUGAACAGUAAAUAUAUUUUUUCUUCCUUACAAUUUUCUUAAUAGCAUUUUCUUUUCUCUAGCUUACCUUAUUGUAAGAAUACAGUGUAUAAUACAUAAAACAUACAAAAUAUGUGUUAAUAAACUGUUUAUGUUAUUGGUAAAGCAUCUGGUCAACAGUAGGCUGUUAGGAAAGUGUGAGGGUAGUCAAAAGUUAAGCUCAGAUUUUUGACUACGCAAGGGUCGGCAUCCCUAAACCCCAAGUUGUUCAAGGUCAACUAUAAUUCCCUAUUACUCCUCACUCUUCCUCCCUCCUUCCUCCUCUUCUUCCUUAUCCCUUCUCCUUCAUUUUCCCCACAGGCUAACUGCAACUCAGCCCACUUCAUUUCCUAAUUUUUCCUCCUCCCUGCAUCCCCCCGAGUCUUUGUGAGAUGCUCUUCCCUUCACUCCUGCCAGCCCUAUGGCAUCAUGGCAUUAUCAUGGUGUAUGGAGAACUUCUGUCUUAUCUGUUUCUCCCACUAACCCAGUGGUUUUCAACUGGAGACAAUUUUGCUCCUCAGGGGACAUUUGGAAAAGUCUGGAGACAUUUUUAAUUGUCACUUCUGGGGAAGGGGGUUGAUACUGUCAUCUACUGAGUAGAAGCCAAGGAUGCUGCUAAACAUCCUACAGUGCACAGGACAGCCCCUCACAAAAAAGGAUUAUCAGGCCCCAAAGGCCAAUAGUGCUAAGGUUGAGAAACUGCACUAGGCUGAGUUCCUUUAAAAUAUGACCCUAUUCAGCGCUGUUCCAGCAGCUCCACAGACAGUGUCCAGUGCCCAGUAGGAAGGAAUCCAAACAGUUUUAAUAUUACAUUUGAAAUUUUAAUUGAAAAACUCUUCUGACAGCUGUAUGUUAUAACUAAUAAGCAAUAUGACCACAUACCACAAUUCAAAGGAAAACCAAUAUCCAGAGGUAAAGGUGGCUUACACCCAUCAGUCUUUGACACUUCCUCCUAUCUAGUUCUCUGUAUUUCUUCCCUUUCUCCUUUUCUCUUGUCCCUGUGCUCACUGUCCCCCUUUACUGUCAUGUUUGUUUGAAUUCCACUUCAAAAUGGGAAUUUGAACAGAGUGCAAUAAAUUGUCCCACAUUUGUUUAUUUUAGGAAAUCAUUGCAUUUAAUUUUAACAUUUAAACAUAUCAAUUAGGCCAGGUGCGGUGGCUCACGCCUGUAAUCCCAGCACUUUGGGAGGCUGAGGCGGGCGGAUCACGAGGUCAGGAAAUCGAGACCAUCCUGGCUAACACGGCGAA